UGGGGAAUAUUGGACAAUGGGCGCAAGCCUGAUCCAGCCAUGCCGCGCGUGUGAAGAAGGCCUUUUGGUUGUAAAGCACUUUAAGCGAGGAGGAGGCUACUUGGAUUAAUACUCUAGGAUAGUGGACGUUACUCGCAGAAUAAGCACCGGCUAACUCUGUGCCAGCAGCCGCGGUAAUACAGAGGGUGCGAGCGUUAAUCGGAUUUACUGGGCGUAAAGCGUGCGUAGGCGGCUUCUUAAGUCGGGUGUGAAAUCCCUGAGCUUAACUUAGGAAUUGCAUUCGAUACUGGGAAGCUAGAGUAUGGGAGAGGAUUGUAGAAUUCCAGGUGUAGCGGUGAAAUGCGUAGAGAUCUGGGGGAAUACCGAUGGCGAAGGCAGCCAUCUGGCCUAAUACUGGCGCUGAGGUACGAAAGCAUGGGGAGCAAACAGG
RNAcentral lists this ribosomal RNA (430 nucleotides) under Acidobacteriota bacterium. RNAcentral's name for it is "Acidobacteria bacterium partial 16S ribosomal RNA". It matches the Rfam family "Bacterial small subunit ribosomal RNA", at positions 355 to 776 of the family's 1533-position model. The record is from RNAcentral. Lineage: Bacteria; Pseudomonadati; Acidobacteriota.